This 361-nucleotide RNase P RNA is filed under the name Ilumatobacter sp. RNAcentral describes it as "RNase P RNA component class A". It matches the Rfam family "Bacterial RNase P class A". From Rfam's summary of the family: Ribonuclease P (RNase P) is a ubiquitous endoribonuclease, found in archaea, bacteria and eukarya as well as chloroplasts and mitochondria. The record is from RNAcentral. Lineage: Bacteria; Bacillati; Actinomycetota; Acidimicrobiia; Acidimicrobiales; Ilumatobacteraceae. RNAcentral also lists the same sequence under 2 other names.
UGAGUCGGCCGGGUGGCCGCGGCACGGCCUGACCGUGUCGAGGAAAGUCGGGACUCCACAGGGCAGCGUGCUGGCGAGAGCCAGGUCGGGGCGACCUGACGGACAAGUGCAACAGAGAGAAGACCGCCGAUGGGCCGGCAUGCCGGUCACAGGUGAGGGUGCAACGGUGCGGUAAGAGCGCACCAGCGGGCGGGGCGACCCGUUCGGCUCGGCAAACCCCACGCGGAGCAAGGCCAAGCAGGGCGUAUGGGCUGCCCGCCCGCCGGUUCACGCCGGCAGCGUCCGGGUAGGCCGCACAGAGGGAUGGUCACCGGCCCGGUUCGCCGGGUCACAGAAUCCCGCUUACAGGCCGACUCACCGU